Molecule: ribosomal RNA, 293 nt
Filed under: uncultured bacterium
Lineage: Bacteria
Description: partial 16S ribosomal RNA
Rfam family: Bacterial small subunit ribosomal RNA
Source: RNAcentral
GUGCCAGCAGCCGCGGUAAUACGUAGGAGGCGAGCGUUGUCCGGAAUUACUGGGCGUAAAGAGCGCGUAGGUGGCAUGAUACGACCGGUGUGAAAGCCCCCGGCUCAACUGGGGAGGGUCACUGGUAACGGUCAUGCUCGGAGUGCAGGAGAGGGAUGUGGAACUCCGGGAGUAGCGGUGAAAUGCGUAGAGACCCGGAGGAACACCAGUGGCGAAGGCGGCAUCCUGGCCUGCGACUGACGCUGUGGCGCGAAAGCUAGGGGAGCGAACGGGAUUAGAUACCCUCGUAGUCC